This is a non-coding RNA of Phrynosoma platyrhinos (Desert horned lizard), 75 nucleotides long. The record is from the annotation of a GenBank genome assembly. Lineage: Eukaryota; Metazoa; Chordata; Lepidosauria; Squamata; Phrynosomatidae.
GGCAGCCUGCUACAGUGGUUUGAGUGUUCUACGACUAGGGCUUUGGAGACCAGGGUUCGAAUCCCGGCUCAGCCA